GACGAACGCUGGCGGCGUGCUUAACACAUGCAAGUCGAACGGUAAGGCCCUUCGGGGUACACGAGUGGCGAACGGGUGAGUAACACGUGGGUGAUCUGCCCUGCACUUCGGGAUAAGCCUGGGAAACUGGGUCUAAUACCGGAUAGGACCCUGGGAUGCAUGUCCUGGGGUGGAAAGCUUUUGCGGUGUGGGAUGGGCCCGCGGCCGAUCAGCUUGUGGGUGGGGAGAUGGCCUACCAAGGCGACGACGGGUAGCCGGCCUGAGAGGGUGACCGGCCACACUGGGACUGAGAUACGGCCCAGACUCCUACGGGAGGCAGCAGUGGGGAAUAUUGCACAAUGGGCGCAAGCCUGAUGCAGCGACGCCGCGUGAGGGAUGACGGCCUUCGGGUUGUAAACCUCUUUCAGCACCGACGAAGCGCAAGUGACGGUAGGUGCAGAAGAAGGACCGGCCAACUACGUGCCAGCAGCCGCCGUAA
Molecule: ribosomal RNA, 478 nt
Filed under: uncultured bacterium
Lineage: Bacteria
Description: partial 16S ribosomal RNA
Rfam family: Bacterial small subunit ribosomal RNA
Source: RNAcentral